This 90-nucleotide transfer RNA is filed under the name Ignavibacteria bacterium. Its description in RNAcentral is "tRNA-Ser". It matches the Rfam family "tRNA". From Rfam's summary of the family: Transfer RNA (tRNA) molecules are approximately 80 nucleotides in length. Their secondary structure includes four short double-helical elements and three loops (D, anti-codon, and T loops). Lineage: Bacteria; Pseudomonadati; Ignavibacteriota; Ignavibacteria. The record is from RNAcentral.
GGAGAGAUGCCGGAGUGGUUGAACGGGGCGGUCUCGAAAACCGUUGUGCACUUAUGUGCACCCAGGGUUCGAAUCCCUGUCUCUCCGCUA